AUUGAAGGAAUCAGUGUGUGCUUUCCCUGUCCGACAGGAUUGGGUAACUCGUUGAACCUCCUUCGUGCUGGGGAUAGGGGCUUGUAAUUGUUCCCCUUAAAC
RNAcentral lists this non-coding RNA (102 nucleotides) under Stegodyphus mimosarum. RNAcentral's name for it is "eukaryotic small subunit ribosomal RNA". It matches the Rfam family "Eukaryotic small subunit ribosomal RNA", at positions 1502 to 1604 of the family's 1831-position model. Lineage: Eukaryota; Metazoa; Arthropoda; Arachnida; Araneae; Eresidae. The record is from Rfam by way of RNAcentral.